Molecule: non-coding RNA, 201 nt
Filed under: Ureibacillus terrenus
Lineage: Bacteria; Bacillati; Bacillota; Bacilli; Caryophanales; Caryophanaceae
Description: 6S / SsrS RNA
Rfam family: 6S / SsrS RNA
About the family: E. coli 6S RNA was the first non coding RNA to be sequenced, but its function was unknown until recently.
Source: Rfam by way of RNAcentral
CGAAUCCUGAAGUGUACGUGAAUGCUAAGUUAACAGUUUUGACCGAACACCAAUAAAUAGGGAGCCCAAAUCUUGGCUUGGCAAACAUGCCCCAUGAACGCCGACGAGGGGAAGUUUAAAGAGUCAGUGAGGGCACCCACCUGCGAGAGGAGCGGGUUCAAAACGAUGUUAAUGAUGCACUACGGCACAUUCGGGAUUCGU